AUAUCAGUAAGCGGAGGAAAAGAAACUAACAAGGAUUCCCGUAGUAACGGCGAGUGAACUGGGAAGAGUCCAUCGCUAAAUCGCAACGUCUUCGUGGUGUUGUGAGGUGUAGCGUAUAGGCGGUUCGCUCUGUAUUUCUAGCUGGUUUAAGUCUCCCUUGACUGGGGCUCCAGAGAAGGUGAAAGGCCUGUUCAACCAGCAGGGAAUAUGGAUUGUUCCGUCUUGGAGUCGGGUUGUUUGGGAACGCAGCCCAAAGCAACGGGUAACUUCCGUUAAGGCUAAAUAUCGCUACGAGACCGAUAGCGCACAAGUA
Molecule: ribosomal RNA, 313 nt
Filed under: uncultured eukaryote
Lineage: Eukaryota
Description: partial large subunit ribosomal RNA
Rfam family: Eukaryotic large subunit ribosomal RNA
Source: RNAcentral